ACCCUGUCCCUCCCGCUGGAC
Molecule: microRNA, 21 nt
Filed under: Raccoon polyomavirus
Lineage: Floreoviria; Shotokuvirae; Cossaviricota; Papovaviricetes; Sepolyvirales; Polyomaviridae
Description: racpv-miR-P1-3p
Gene: racpv-miR-P1-3p
Source: miRBase by way of RNAcentral